RNAcentral lists this ribosomal RNA (1127 nucleotides) under human gut metagenome. RNAcentral describes it as "bacterial LSU rRNA". It matches the Rfam family "Bacterial large subunit ribosomal RNA", at positions 1299 to 2494 of the family's 2925-position model. The record is from RNAcentral.
GGAAUGAGUAGCGAGAAUUAUGUGGGAAUCAUAAUGGCCGAAAAUCUAAGGUUUCUUGGGGAAGGUUCGUCCGCCCAAGGUAAGCCGGGAGCUAAGGCGAGGCCGCAAGGCGUAGUCGAUGCACAUACGGUAGAAAUUCCGUAGCCGCCGAACUUUAAGCAUGCUGACACUUUGGAAUAGGGGAACCCGGGCGUUGGUCGACCCGGGCGUAAGGGACCGAAAAAUAGUAGGGAAGUCCUUGAUGUCCAGAGGCGAGAAAAGGCAUGUGGUAUACUAAGGCGCCCGUACCGCAAACCGACACAGGUAGAUGAGGAGAGAAUCCUAAGGCCAACGGGAGAAGGGUUGUUAAGGAACUCGGCAAAAUGACCCCGUAACUUCGGGAUAAGGGGAGCCUCCUACGGGAGGCCGCAGCGAAUAGGCCCAAGCGACUGUUUACCAAAAACACAGGUCUCUGCUAAAUCGAAAGAUGACGUAUAGGGGCUGACGCCUGCCCGGUGCUGGAAGGUUAAGAGGAGAUGUUAGCCGCAAGGCGAAGCAUUGAAUCGAAGCCCCAGUAAACGGCGGCCGUAACUAUAACGGUCCUAAGGUAGCGAAAUUCCUUGUCAGGUAAGUUCUGACCCGCACGAAUGGCGUAACGACUUGGGCGCUGUCUCAACAGCCCACCCGGCGAAAUUGUUGUACUGGUGAAGAAGCCAGUUACCCGCAACUAGACGGAAAGACCCCAUGGAGCUUUACUGUAGCUUAAUACUGGAAAUCGGUAAAUCAUGUACAGGAUAGGUGGGAGACUUGGAAGCCAGGGCGUCAGCUUUGGUGGAGUCACCCUUGGGAUACCACCCUUGAUUUGCUGGUUUUCUAACCUGCGGCCGUGAAUCCGGUCGGGGGACACUGUUAGGUGGGCAGUUUGACUGGGGCGGUCGCCUCCUAAAAGGUAACGGAGGCGCUCAAAGGUUCGUUCAGCACGGACGGAAACCGUGCAGUGAGUGUAAACGCAUAAACGAGCCUAACUGCGAGACCGACGGGUCGAGCAGUAACGAAAGUUGGAGUUAGUGAUCCGGCGGUAUGCAAGUGGAAGUGCCGUCGCUCAACGGAUAAAAGCUACCCUGGGGAUAACAGGCUGAUCUCCCCCA